Molecule: ribosomal RNA, 677 nt
Filed under: Inocybe praetervisa
Lineage: Eukaryota; Fungi; Basidiomycota; Agaricomycetes; Agaricales; Inocybaceae
Description: eukaryotic LSU rRNA
Rfam family: Eukaryotic large subunit ribosomal RNA
Source: RNAcentral
UUGACCUCAAAUCAGGUAGGACUACCCGCUGAACUUAAGCAUAUCAAUAAGCGGAGGAAAAGAAACUAACAAGGAUUCCCCUAGUAACUGCGAGUGAAGCGGGAAAAGCUCAAAUUUAAAAUCUGGCGGUUUCUGGACUGUCUGAGUUGUAAUCUAGAGAAGUGUUUACCUGUGCUGGACCAUGUACAAGUCUCCUGGAAUGGAGCAUCAUAGAGGGUGAGAAUCCCGUCUUUGACAUGGACUACCUGUGCAUUAUGGGUGCGCUCUCGAAGAGUCGAGUUGUUUGGGAAUGCAGCUCAAAAUGGGUGGUAAAUGCCAUCUAAAGCUAAAUAUUGGCGAGAGACCGAUAGCGAACAAGUACCGUGAGGGAAAGAUGAAAAGAACUUUGGAAAGAGAGUUAAACAGUACGUGAAAUUGCUGAAAGGGAAACGCUUGAAGUCAGUCACGUUGGCUGGAAAUCAGCCUUGCUUUUGCUUGGUGUAUUUUCUGGUCCGACGGGUCAGCAUCAAUUUUGACCAUUGGAUAAAGUCUUUUGGGAAUGUGGCAUCUUUUAGAUGUGUUAUAGCCCAUGGUUGCAUACAGUGGUUGGGAUUGAGGAACUCAGCACGCCGCAAGGCCGGGUUUCGACCACGUUUCCGUGCUUAGGAUGCUGGCAUAAUGGCUUUAAUCGACCCGUC